GUUCACUGGGGAGUGCAAGGAGUGUGCCCACUGCAAGUCAGCAGAGAGCAACAUGUGUGAUCUGCUCAGGAUCAACACUGACAGGGGUGUGAUGAUUGGUGAUGGCAAAUCACGCUUUUCCAUCAACGGGAAGCCCAUUUACCAUUUCGUCGGGACUUCGACCUUCAGCGAGUACACUGUCAUGCAUGUUGGUUGCGUUGCGAAGAUCAACCCGGCAGCUCCACUUGAUAAAGUUUGCGUUCUUAGCUGUGGUAUUUCUACUGGUCUUGGUGCUACAAUCAAUGUGGCAAAGCCACCAAAGGGUUCGACGGUGGCGAUAUUUGGUCUAGGAGCUGUAGGCCUUGCUGCCGCAGAAGGUGCAAGGAUUGCAGGAGCGUCAAGGAUCAUUGGCAUUGACCUGAACGCCAACAGAUUUGAAGAAGCUAGGAAAUUUGGUUGCACUGAAUUUGUGAACCCAAAGGACCAUGACAAGCCAGUUCAGCAGGUACUUGCUGAGAUGACCAAUGGCGGAGUUGACCGCAGCGUUGAAUGCACUGGCAACAUCAACGCCAUGAUCCAAGCAUUUGAAUGUGUUCAUGAUGGCUGGGGUGUUGCUGUUUUGGUCGGCGUGCCACACAAGGACGCCGAGUUCAAGACCCACCCGAUGAACUUCCUGAACGAGAGGACUCUCAAGGGAACCUUCUUCGGCAACUACAAGCCACGCACCGAUCUGCCCAACGUCGUCGAGCUCUACAUGAAGAAGGAGCUGGAGGUGGAGAAGUUCAUCACACACAGCGUGCCGUUCUCGGAGAUCAACACGGCGUUCGACCUGAUGCACAAGGGCGAGGGCAUCCGCUGCAUCAUCCGCAUGGAGAACUGAGGUUUUUCAGGGGAUUAUGGUGUUGGGUAAUAAGAUUGGGCAGCUUGAGCAGCCUGCCUUGGGUGAAUGAUGAUAUACGGUUCUUCUGUGUAUCCUGGGCAAAUUUCUGGCUUUGUCAAUCAGUAAUAGUACGGUAUGAAUUCCAGUGUCUGUAGCUGCAAAGAGUUUGUUAAGAAUCAGUGAUCUUUUG
This 1049-nucleotide unclassified non-coding RNA is filed under the name Hevea brasiliensis (rubber tree). Lineage: Eukaryota; Viridiplantae; Streptophyta; Magnoliopsida; Malpighiales; Euphorbiaceae. The record is from RNAcentral.